This is a non-coding RNA of Podarcis lilfordi (Lilford's wall lizard), 156 nucleotides long. The record is from the annotation of a GenBank genome assembly. Lineage: Eukaryota; Metazoa; Chordata; Lepidosauria; Squamata; Lacertidae.
CUGGAUGUUAAAUAGAAACAAUUAGUAUUUUAAUAUUGUCAUCAUGAUUUCUUGGUAUGAAAAUGAUAUAUAAACAUAUAUAGAAAUCAAACAUUUUCAUACCAAGAAAUCAUGAUGACAAUAUUAAAAUACUAAUUGUUUCUAUUUAACAUCCAG